Molecule: unclassified non-coding RNA, 363 nt
Filed under: uncultured Tulostoma
Lineage: Eukaryota; Fungi; Basidiomycota; Agaricomycetes; Agaricales; Agaricaceae
Description: sequence contains ITS1
Rfam family: 5.8S ribosomal RNA (bases 1-105)
Source: RNAcentral
GAAAUGCGAUAAGUAAUGUGAAUUGCAGAAUUCAGUGAAUCAUCGAAUCUUUGAACGCACCUUGCGCUCCUUGGUAUUCCGAGGAGCAUGCCUGUUUGAGUGUCAUUUAUUUCUCAACCCCUCCAGCUUAUUCUGGCUGGCUUGGUGGCUUGGAUGUGGGGGAUUAGUCUUGCGGGCCUCUUCAGAGGUCAGCUCCCCUGAAAUGCAUUAGCGGAACCGUUUGCGGAACUGUCACUGGUGUGAUAAUUAUCUAUACCAAAGACAACUGCUCUCUGGUAGUUCUGCUCCCAAUAGUCCUUUUUCUUGGACAAUUAUAUCUGAAUGCUUGACCUCAAAUCAGGUAGGACUACCCGCUGAACUUAA